Long non-coding RNA from Solanum lycopersicum (tomato), 1084 nucleotides. RefSeq lists it as uncharacterized. The record is from RefSeq and is a predicted model, not a curated record. Lineage: Eukaryota; Viridiplantae; Streptophyta; Magnoliopsida; Solanales; Solanaceae.
UAAAUAAGUUAAUUUUUUUGACUAGUUAGCUAAAUUUUCCUUUUAUUUAUUAAUAGAGUAUGUACAAGCACUGACUAAUCCAAAACUAGGAUUAGCCCAAAAAGAAAAAGCCCAACCCAUUAAAAUGAACCUUUAGCUAUUUAUAAAGAAACCCUAGAAAAUAAGGAUUCAUAAAUUUGUGCUCCUCUUCAGUGUCCCCUAUAUUGCUGCUUAGAGAUUUGUGGUAUUCAACCUUCCACCCCCAUUUGUUGUGGGUCAUUAAUCCCUUUCUCUUCUUCUUCCUAGUAUCAUCCUUGCUUAGCUUGCAGCGGUAUGUUUUUGUAUUUUGUUCUUCACUUAUUUCCCUCAAUUCUUGACUUCCUCCAUUUCAAUGAUGGAGACUUAAUCCGGUGAUGUAGUGGUUGCCUAAGAUAGUUCUUGUAGAGGUGCCUAGUCCUGUGGUCUGGCUCUCAAUUCCUUGAGAGAGAUGAUUUGGUUGGAUAUGUUCCUCCAGUAAGACUUGAUGCUGCAUUUUCUAUGUGGAAUCUAAAAAAGAGUUGGUCGUUGAUUCUUCAGGAGAGAGAUGAUUUGGCUGGAUAUGUUCCUCCAGUGAGACUUGAUGCUGCAUUUUCUAUAUGGAAUCCCAAAAAGAGUUGGUCGUUGAUUCUUCAGGUUUUUCCGUUUUGAUGAUAUUCUAUAAAGUGGCUAAUUCUUUUUAUAAGAAGCAACACUUUUGAUCUAGUAAAUUUUGAAUAAUUAAAAAGAAAUCUUCAAUUGUGUAUGAAUAUUGUGCCUAAUUGUUUUUUGUUUCAAAUCUUCUGAAACCGCAUUUUCAUGAUAUAUACUAUUGUUUAAUAUCAUGUAAUAAUGAAAUAGUGUUCCUGUAUGUUGUCAUUCUCCUUUAUUUCUUUAGGUUGUAUUCUCAAAUUAGGUAUUCGCGACUUUUCUAAGUUAAUAAUCUUUCUUUCAUUGCUUGGAAGUUUACAGAAGGUGGAAAAAACAUUGUCGUCCAUUCCUUUCAAAGGCUACAUUAGUAAUUUAAUUUGCUAACGAAUUUCCUUUCUGAAAACAUGUUGAAGUCUUGCAUGACAUAUCUGAGCUAAAU